RNAcentral lists this ribosomal RNA (492 nucleotides) under uncultured soil bacterium. RNAcentral's name for it is "bacterial SSU rRNA". It matches the Rfam family "Bacterial small subunit ribosomal RNA", at positions 26 to 533 of the family's 1533-position model. The record is from RNAcentral.
AGGACGAACGCUGGCGGCGUGCUUAACACAUGCAAGUCGAGCGGUAAGGCUCCUUCGGGAGUACACGAGCGGCGAACGGGUGAGUAACACGUAAGCAAUCUGCCCUUCUCAUCGGAAUAACCACUGGAAACGGUGGCUAAUGCCGAAUAUGACCUCGGAUCACAUGUUCUGAGGUGGAAAGCUCCGGCGGAGAAGGACGAGCUUGCGGCCUAUCAGCUUGUUGGUGAGGUAAUGGCUCACCAAGGCGAUGACGGGUAGCCGGCCUGAGAGGGUGACCGGCACACUGGGACUGAGACACGCCCAGACUCCUACGGGAGCAGCAGUGGGAAUAUGGACAAUGGGCGAAAGCCUGAUCCAGCAACGCCGCGUGGAGGAUGACGGCCUUCGGUUGUAACCUCUUCAGCAGGACGAAGACGAAAGUGACGGUACCUGCGAAGAAGAAGACCGGACCAACUACGACCACCACGCGACGCCGACGGUAAUCGUGAGCGG